CUGCAUGUUAAAAAAAAAAAAAUAAUUCUGCUCCUCAUUCCCAUAAGGAGCAUGAAUACAUAUAUAACAUGCUACAGAAAGCAAGGAGUCUUCAGGGCUGCCAGUCUUGUAGUAAAGGCUGAGUGGUAGUAUAUGUCUCCUACAUCU
Molecule: small nucleolar RNA, 147 nt
Filed under: Chlamydotis macqueenii (Macqueen's bustard)
Lineage: Eukaryota; Metazoa; Chordata; Aves; Otidiformes; Otididae
Description: Chlamydotis undulata macqueenii Small nucleolar RNA U109
Rfam family: Small nucleolar RNA U109
Source: Rfam by way of RNAcentral